AUUGAACGCUGGCGGCAUGCCUUACACAUGCAAGUCGAACGGCAGCGGACCUUCGGGUGCCGGCGAGUGGCGAACGGGUGAGUAAUAUAUCGGGAACGUACCUUUCAGUGGGGGAUAACGUAGCGAAAGUUACGCUAAUACCGCAUAUUCUGUGAGCAGGAAAGCAGGGGAUCGCAAGACCUUGCGCUGAUUGAGUGGCCGAUAUCAGAUUAGCUAGUUGGUGAGGUAAAGGCUCACCAAGGCGACGAUCUGUAGCGGGUCUGAGAGGAUGAUCCGCCACACUGGAACUGAGACACGGUCCAGACUCCUACGGGAGGCAGCAGUGGGGAAUUUUGGACAAUGGGCGCAAGCCUGAUCCAGCCAUGCCGCGUGAGUGAAGAAGGCCUGGUGU
Molecule: ribosomal RNA, 391 nt
Filed under: uncultured bacterium
Lineage: Bacteria
Description: bacterial SSU rRNA
Rfam family: Bacterial small subunit ribosomal RNA
Source: RNAcentral